GAACGCUGGCGGCAUGCNUAACACAUGCAAGUCGAACGAGAUCUUCGGAUCUAGUGGCGCACGGGUGCGUAACGCGUGGGGAUCUNCCAUAGGGUGCGGAAUAACUCAGAGAAAUNNGAGCUAAUACCGCAUAAUGUCUUCGGACCAAAGAUUUAUCGCCCNANGAUGNNCCCGCGUAGGAUUAGCUAGUUGGUGAGGUAANGGCUCACCAAGGCGACGAUCCNUAGCUGGUCUGAGAGGAUGAUCAGCCACACUGGGACUGAGACACGGCCCAGACUCCUACGGGAGGCAGCAGUGGGGAAUAUUGGACAAUGGGCGAAAGCCUGAUCCAGCAAUGCCGCGUGAGUGAUGAAGGCCUUAGGGUUGUAAAGCUCUUUUANCCAGGGAUGA
RNAcentral lists this ribosomal RNA (390 nucleotides) under uncultured Sphingomonadales bacterium. RNAcentral describes it as "partial 16S ribosomal RNA". It matches the Rfam family "Bacterial small subunit ribosomal RNA", at positions 31 to 448 of the family's 1533-position model. Lineage: Bacteria; Pseudomonadati; Pseudomonadota; Alphaproteobacteria; Sphingomonadales. The record is from RNAcentral.